Molecule: ribosomal RNA, 233 nt
Filed under: Lomentospora prolificans
Lineage: Eukaryota; Fungi; Ascomycota; Sordariomycetes; Microascales; Microascaceae
Description: Scedosporium prolificans Eukaryotic small subunit ribosomal RNA
Rfam family: Eukaryotic small subunit ribosomal RNA
Source: Rfam by way of RNAcentral
UACCUGGUUGAUUCUGCCAGUAGUCAUAUGCUUGUCUCAAAGAUUAAGCCAUGCAUGUCUAAGUAUAAGCAAUUAUACCGCGAAACUGCGAAUGGCUCAUUAUAUAAGUUAUCGUUUAUUUGAUAGCACAUUACUACAUGGAUAACUGUGGUAAUUCUAGAGCUAAUACAUGCUAAAAAUCCCGACUUCGGAAGGGAUGUAUUUAUUAGAUUAAAAGCCAACGCCCUUCGGGG